This 484-nucleotide ribosomal RNA is filed under the name uncultured bacterium. RNAcentral's name for it is "partial 16S ribosomal RNA". It matches the Rfam family "Bacterial small subunit ribosomal RNA", at positions 30 to 507 of the family's 1533-position model. The record is from RNAcentral.
AUUGAACGCUAGCGGGAUGCUUUACACAUGCAAGUCGAACGGCAGCGCGGACUUCGGUCUGGCGGCAAGUGGCGAACGGGUGAGUAAUGUAUCGGAACGUGCCCAGUAGCGGGGGAUAACUACGCGAAAGCGUAGCUAAUACCGCAUACGCCCUACGGGGGAAAGCAGGGGAUCGUAAGACCUUGCACUAUUGGAGCGGCCGAUAUCGGAUUAGCUAGUUGGUGAGGUAACGGCUCACCAAGGCGACGAUCCGUAGCUGGUUUGAGAGGACGACCAGCCACACUGGGACUGAGACACGGCCCAGACUCCUACGGGAGGCAGCAGUGGGGAAUUUUGGACAAUGGGGGCAACCCUGAUCCAGCCAUCCCGCGUGUGCGAUGAAGGCCUUCGGGUUGUAAAGCACUUUUGGCAGGAAAGAAACGUCGCGGGCUAAUACCCCGUGGAACUGACGGUACCUGCAGAAUAAGCACCGGCUAACUACGUG